AGCUUUGUGCAGUGGCAGUAUCAUAGCCAAUAAGAUUUAUCAAAGGCACAAUUAUUGCCAAUUGAAAACUUUUCCCAGUUUUCUUGCCUCCCAAGAUUGCUGUUUUCACUCAACUUUUGACUUUUCUGAA
RNAcentral lists this small nuclear RNA (130 nucleotides) under Canis lupus familiaris (dog). RNAcentral describes it as "U4 spliceosomal RNA". It matches the Rfam family "U4 spliceosomal RNA". From Rfam's summary of the family: U4 small nuclear RNA (U4 snRNA) is a component of the major U2-dependent spliceosome. The record is from Rfam by way of RNAcentral. RNAcentral also lists the same sequence under 2 other names. Lineage: Eukaryota; Metazoa; Chordata; Mammalia; Carnivora; Canidae.